CAGAGGGGCUAGCGUUGUUCGGAAUUACUGGGCGUAAAGCGCGCGUAGGCGGCGCGAUAAGUUAGGAGUGAAAUCCCAGGGCUUAACCCUGGAAUUGCUCUUAAGACUGUCGUGCUAGAGGUUGGUAGAGGAUGGUAGAAUUCCUAGUGUAGCGGUGAAAUGCGUAGAUAUUAGGAGGAAUACCAGUGGCGAAGGCGGCCAUCUGGACCAAUUCUGACGCUAAAGUGCGAAAGCGUGGGGAUCAAACAGGAUUAGAUACCCUGGUAGUCCACGCCGUAAACGAUGGAUACUAGACGUUGGGGGGUUACCCCUCAGUGUCGUAGCUAACGCGUUAAGUAUCCCGCCUGGGGAGUACGGUCGCAAGAUUA
Molecule: ribosomal RNA, 368 nt
Filed under: uncultured organism
Description: bacterial SSU rRNA
Rfam family: Bacterial small subunit ribosomal RNA
Source: RNAcentral